UUUCUAAUUAUGUAAGGCUGGGUAUUGUAUCUCGUCAUCAAACGCUAGACCAGAAAUAGUCAGUUGACAUUUUUUCCCCCUACUUCCUCGCUAUGCAGACAAGCACAAUUUGGCUCCACUGAGGUGCAGAUUUUUCCUUUAUACACUAGUUAUUUUUCAGUUUCGUCCUAAGAACAGAUUGUAGUGUUAAAAUAAAUGGAUACUUUUUUGGUGUUAAAUGGGAAUCUAAGCAUCACUCGUCAAAUCAGGCUCUGCGUACGUUCGAUUCCAUUCCAUCCAGUAGUUUUAGCUUAGCCAACGUUCUAAAGCCGGCUUCAGCCUUGGGUGAAUUUUGACUCGUUCUUUUGUCCAGCCGACCUAUGCGGAUGUUUAUCUAGUUCCCAAGAGCAGCAGAUCAAUCUGCCACCCCCAGUAGUUCAGCUGUAGUCACAGCCGUCCUCAGUUGUGGUAUUUAAUAUACCGGCUGCACCAAUUCUUACUUCACUGGCCUUGAAGGGAGACACUUUUGAGGAUUCCCAACUGGAUACAGAUCUGCAAUGCAUUCCACUGCCUGACAGCCUCACCCAGAAGUGCAUACACUGGGCCUAUCAAGACUGACAAAGCAGAGAUGGGUGGGUGACAAGGAAACUUAAAACGCAACAUGCACACACACUCCCUCUCUCUGUCACACACACAUAAUCCCCAAUGUAAAUACAUUGUAGUUUAUUUUAUGUAUGCUCCAUUUUAUUUGAGGAAAAUGUCUGCAAUAAAGUUUGUUCACAGUUAAGCAAUGUCUUUGGUUUAUUGUAUAUUUCUCCGUAUUUAAUGUGACCAAUAAAGUCUGCAGACCUGCAA
This is a long non-coding RNA of Oncorhynchus masou masou (cherry salmon), 834 nucleotides long. RefSeq lists it as uncharacterized. Lineage: Eukaryota; Metazoa; Chordata; Actinopteri; Salmoniformes; Salmonidae. The record is from RefSeq and is a predicted model, not a curated record. The transcript has 3 exons.